CAGGAUGAACGCUAGCGGCAGGCUUAACACAUGCAAGUCGAGGGGCAUCGGGAGUAGCAAUACUUGCCGGCGACCGGCGCAAGGGUGCGUAACGCGUGAGCAACAUGCCCGUAUCAGGGGGAUAAUCCAUGGAAACGUGGUCUAAUACCCCAUAGUAAUUAUGUAAGGCAUCUUAUAUAAUUUAAAGCUUUGGUGGAUACGGAUUGGCUCGCGUGACAUUAGCUGGAUGGUAAGGUAACGGCUUACCAUGGCUACGAUGUCUAGGGGUUCUGAGAGGAAGGUCCCCCACACUGGAACUGAGACACGGUCCAGACUCCUACGGGAGGCAGCAGUGAGGAAUAUUGGACAAUGGAUGGAAAUCUGAUCCAGCCAUGCCGCGUGCAGGAAGACGGCCCUAUGGGUUGUAAACUGCUUUUGUAUGGGAGCAAUAAGGGCUACGUGUAGUCCGAUGAGAGUACCAUACGAAUAAGCACCGGCUAACUCCGUGCCAGCCGCCGC
RNAcentral lists this ribosomal RNA (498 nucleotides) under uncultured bacterium. Its description in RNAcentral is "bacterial SSU rRNA". It matches the Rfam family "Bacterial small subunit ribosomal RNA", at positions 25 to 518 of the family's 1533-position model. The record is from RNAcentral.